GGGGGUAUAGAUUCCCUCUGUGUCGCAGUUAACGCGUUAAGCAUCCCGCAUGGGGAGUACGGUCGCAAGGCUGAUACUCUCACGAGUUGACGGGGGCCCGCACAAGCAGCGGAGCGUGUGGUGUAAUUCGAUGCUACACGAAGAACCUUACCUGGGCUUGACAUGUAUGUGGUAGUGAAGUGAAAGCGGAUCGACCCCUCGGGGAGCAUACACAGGUGCUGCAUGGCUGUCGUCAGCUCGUGCCGUGAGGUGUCGGGUUAAGUCCCGUAACGAGCGCAACCCCUGUCCUUAGUUACAAGUGUUUAGGGAGACUGCCGCCGGUAAGCCGGAGGAAGGUGGGGAUGACGUCAAGUCAGCAUGGCCUUUAUGUCCAGGGCUACACACACGCUACAAUGGCCGGUACAAUGGGUUGCCAAACCGUGAGGUGGAGCCAAUCCCGUAAAGCCGGUCUCAGUUCGAAUUGUAGACUGCAACUCGUCUACAUGAAGUCGGAGUUGCUAGUAAUCGCGGAUCAGCAUAUCCGCGCUGAGUAUGUUCUCCGGGCGUUGUACACACCGCCCGUCACGUCAUGGAGGCUGCGACACCUGAGGCCGCUGAGCCAACCCGAAAGGGAGUAGCUGUCGAAGGUGGGGCUGGAGACUGGGACGAAGUCG
RNAcentral lists this ribosomal RNA (653 nucleotides) under uncultured organism. RNAcentral describes it as "bacterial SSU rRNA". It matches the Rfam family "Bacterial small subunit ribosomal RNA", at positions 825 to 1488 of the family's 1533-position model. The record is from RNAcentral.